GAUGAACGCUGGCGGCGUGCCUAAUACAUGCAAGUCGAGCGAACAGACGAGGAGCUUGCUCCUCUGACGUUAGCGGCGGACGGGUGAGUAACACGUGGAUAACCUACCUAUAAGACUGGGAUAACUUCGGGAAACCGGAGCUAAUACCGGAUAAUAUAUUGAACCGCAUGGUUCAAUAGUGAAAGACGGUUUUGCUGUCACUUAUAGAUGGAUCCGCGCCGCAUUAGCUAGUUGGUAAGGUAACGGCUUACCAAGGCAACGAUGCGUAGCCGACCUGAGAGGGUGAUCGGCCACACUGGAACUGAGACACGGUCCAGACUCCUACGGGAGGCAGCAGUAGGGAAUCUUCCGCCAUGGGCGAAAGCCUGACGGAGCAACGCCGCGUGAGUGAUGAAGGUCUUCGGAUCGUAAAACUCUGUUAUUGGGGAAGAACAAAUGUGUAAGUAACUCUGCACGUCUUGACGGUACCUAAUCAGAAAGCCACGGCUAACUACGUG
This 497-nucleotide ribosomal RNA is filed under the name uncultured bacterium. RNAcentral describes it as "partial 16S ribosomal RNA". It matches the Rfam family "Bacterial small subunit ribosomal RNA", at positions 28 to 507 of the family's 1533-position model. The record is from RNAcentral.